Molecule: ribosomal RNA, 2161 nt
Filed under: Staphylococcus aureus
Lineage: Bacteria; Bacillati; Bacillota; Bacilli; Caryophanales; Staphylococcaceae
Description: bacterial LSU rRNA
Rfam family: Bacterial large subunit ribosomal RNA
Source: RNAcentral
UUAAGUUAUUAAGGGCGCACGGUGGAUGCCUUGGCACUAGAAGCCGAUGAAGGACGUUACUAACGACGAUAUGCUUUGGGGAGCUGUAAGUAAGCUUUGAUCCAGAGAUUUCCGAAUGGGGAAACCCAGCAUGAGUUAUGUCAUGUUAUCGAUAUGUGAAUACAUAGCAUAUCAGAAGGCACACCCGGAGAACUGAAACAUCUUAGUACCCGGAGGAAGAGAAAGAAAAUUCGAUUCCCUUAGUAGCGGCGAGCGAAACGGGAAGAGCCCAAACCAACAAGCUUGCUUGUUGGGGUUGUAGGACACUCUAUACGGAGUUACAAAGGACGACAUUAGACGAAUCAUCUGGAAAGAUGAAUCAAAGAAGGUAAUAAUCCUGUAGUCGAAAAUGUUGUCUCUCUUGAGUGGAUCCUGAGUACGACGGAGCACGUGAAAUUCCGUCGGAAUCUGGGAGGACCAUCUCCUAAGGCUAAAUACUCUCUAGUGACCGAUAGUGAACCAGUACCGUGAGGGAAAGGUGAAAAGCACCCCGGAAGGGGAGUGAAAUAGAACCUGAAACCGUGUGCUUACAAGUAGUCAGAGCCCGUUAAUGGGUGAUGGCGUGCCUUUUGUAGAAUGAACCGGCGAGUUACGAUUUGAUGCAAGGUUAAGCAGUAAAUGUGGAGCCGUAGCGAAAGCGAGUCUGAAUAGGGCGUUUAGUAUUUGGUCGUAGACCCGAAACCAGGUGAUCUACCCUUGGUCAGGUUGAAGUUCAGGUAACACUGAAUGGAGGACCGAACCGACUUACGUUGAAAAGUGAGCGGAUGAACUGAGGGUAGCGGAGAAAUUCCAAUCGAACCUGGAGAUAGCUGGUUCUCUCCGAAAUAGCUUUAGGGCUAGCCUCAAGUGAUGAUUAUUGGAGGUAGAGCACUGUUUGGACGAGGGGCCCCUCUCGGGUUACCGAAUUCAGACAAACUCCGAAUGCCAAUUAAUUUAACUUGGGAGUCAGAACAUGGGUGAUAAGGUCCNUGUUCGAAAGGGAAACAGCCCAGACCACCAGCUAAGGUCCCAAAAUAUAUGUUAAGUGGAAAAGGAUGUGGCGUUGCCCAGACAACUAGGAUGUUGGCUUAGAAGCAGCCAUCAUUUAAAGAGUGCGUAAUAGCUCACUAGUCGAGUGACACUGCGCCGAAAAUGUACCGGGGCUAAACAUAUUACCGAAGCUGUGGAUUGUCCUUUGGACAAUGGUAGGAGAGCGUUCUAAGGGCGUUGAAGCAUGAUCGUAAGGACAUGUGGAGCGCUUAGAAGUGAGAAUGCCGGUGUGAGUAGCGAAAGACGGGUGAGAAUCCCGUCCACCGAUUGACUAAGGUUUCCAGAGGAAGGCUCGUCCGCUCUGGGUUAGUCGGGUCCUAAGCUGAGGCCGACAGGCGUAGGCGAUGGAUAACAGGUUGAUAUUCCUGUACCACCUAUAAUCGUUUUAAUCGAUGGGGGGACGCAGUAGGAUAGGCGAAGCGUGCGAUUGGAUUGCACGUCUAAGCAGUAAGGCUGAGUAUUAGGCAAAUCCGGUACUCGUUAAGGCUGAGCUGUGAUGGGGAGAAGACAUUGUGUCUUCGAGUCGUUGAUUUCACACUGCCGAGAAAAGCCUCUAGAUAGAAAAUAGGUGCCCGUACCGCAAACCGACACAGGUAGUCAAGAUGAGAAUUCUAAGGUGAGCGAGCGAACUCUCGUUAAGGAACUCGGCAAAAUGACCCCGUAACUUCGGGAGAAGGGGUGCUCUUUAGGGUUAACGCCCAGAAGAGCCGCAGUGAAUAGGCCCAAGCGACUGUUUAUCAAAAACACAGGUCUCUGCUAAACCGUAAGGUGAUGUAUAGGGGCUGACGCCUGCCCGGUGCUGGAAGGUUAAGAGGAGUGGUUAGCUUCUGCGAAGCUACGAAUCGAAGCCCCAGUAAACGGCGGCCGUAACUAUAACGGUCCUAAGGUAGCGAAAUUCCUUGUCGGGUAAGUUCCGACCCGCACGAAAGGCGUAACGAUUUGGGCACUGUCUCAACGAGAGACUCGGUGAAAUCAUAGUACCUGUGAAGAUGCAGGUUACCCGCGACAGGACGGAAAGACCCCGUGGAGCUUUACUGUAGCCUGAUAUUGAAAUUCGGCACAGCUUGUACAGGAUAGGUAGGAGCCUUUGAAA